AUUGGAAUGAGAGAGUCAUUUGCUUGUUUUCUCAGCAAGUAUUUAUUGAGCACCUAUUAGAUGCUGGGUGGUGGGACACAAUGAUGAGCGAGUCCAAAGUGGUCCUGCCUCCUCAGGUGGCCAGUCUAGUGGAAGGAACAAGGGAUAUGUCUAUUAAGUAACUUAUAUGACAUAAUGCAGUUAGCAUUACAAUAGAAGUAGAAGCCUCGGCCCCUCUCAGAGCUCUGGAAACCUUCCCCUCCAUCUACUCCGGCAGCAUGGGAAGUUCACGGGGGCCACAGUUGGCACCAAGUGUUUUCCACUCUUUGCUUCUGAGGGCCAAGAUGCCAUGGAAGGGUGUCCAGGGGCUUUGACCGAUGAGCACGGGGAGUUUUGGAGGAGGGCUGGAGGUGGCGGGUUCAGAUGAAUUCUACUAAUUGCUUGGCUGUAGGAACCAAACCUUGUCGGCCUGCAGCUCAAACAAGAGAACAAGCAAGAUGAGAUCCUCUGCCCUCCUGGUGUUUUUUUGUUCUCGUGGGGAGAAAGUGUAUUAAAAUAUGAGUUACUGCAUCAGACAUAUAAAAUAAUAAUUUCAAGAAAAUGGAUCUGUGAUUGUAAAUAUUGGGUCAAAUUUAGCAUCAGAGUAAACAAAUAAAUGGAUAUUAUGUCACAAUCAGGGCAGACUGUAAUUAAAUGACUUUCUAGGGUGCGGCUGCAUCCCCAUGAAGCUCAGACCCCAUUGUUGC
RNAcentral lists this long non-coding RNA (725 nucleotides) under Pan paniscus (pygmy chimpanzee). RNAcentral describes it as "lncRNA (ENSPPAG00000044629.1)". Lineage: Eukaryota; Metazoa; Chordata; Mammalia; Primates; Hominidae. The record is from RNAcentral.